UGUUCCAACUACAGAGGGAUCACACUCCUCAGCCUCCCUGGUAAAGUCUAUUCAGGGGGACGUCAGGAGGGGACGUGGGAACUUGCCCAACCAGUCUACAUGUGUUUUGUGGACUUGGAGAAGGCAUUUGACCGUGUCCCUCGGGGGGUAAUGUGGGGGUGCUUCGGGAGUAUGGGGUACCGACCCCCCUGAUACGGGCUGUUCGGUCCCUAUACUGCCGAUGUCAGAGUUUGGUUCGCAUUGCCAGCAAUAAGUCGGAAUCGUUUGCAGUGAGAGUUGGACUUCGCCAAGGCUGCACUUUGGCGCCAAUUCUGUUCAUCACCUUUAUGGACAGAAUUUCUAGGCACAGCCGAAGCGUUGAGGGGGUCCGUUUUGGGGGCCUCAAUAUUGCAUCUCUGCUUUUUGCAGAUGAUGUGGUACUGUUGGCUCCUUCAAGCAGGACUCGCCAACUCUUCACUGGAGCGUUUCGCAGCCGAGUGUGAAGCGGUUGGGAUGAGGAUCAGCACCUCCAAAUCUGAAACCAUGGUCCUCAGUCGGUAAAGGGUGGAGUGCCCGCUCCGGGUCGGGGAGGAGAUCUUGACCCAAGUGGAGGAGUUUAAGUAUCUUGGGGUCUUGUUCACGAGUGAGGGCAGGUGGGAGCGAGAGAUCGACAGGCGGAUCAGUGCAGCGUCUGCUGUGAUGCGGACGUUGCAUUGGUCUGUCGUGGUAAAGAAGGAGCUGAGCGAAAGGGCGAAGUUCUCAAUUUACCUGUUGAUCUACGUCCCAACUCUCAUCUAUGGUCACGAGCUAUGGGUCGUGACCGAAAGAACGAGAUCCUGGAUACAAGCGGCCGAAAUGAAGCUCGGUCAUCCGGGAGGGACUCAGAGUAAAGCUGCUUCUCCUCCACAUCGAGAGGACCCAGAUGAACUGGCUCGGGCAUCUAAUUAGGAUGCCUCCUGGACGCCUCCCUGGUGAGAUGUUCCGGGCAUGUCCCACUGGCAGGAGACCCCGAGGACGACCCAGGAUACGCUGGAGAGAUUAUGUCACCCAGCUGGCAUGGGAAUGCCUCAGGAUCCUCCAGGAAGAGCUCGAAGAAGUGGCUGGGGAAAGGGAAGUCUGGGCUUCCCUCCUAAAGCUACUGCCCCCGCGACCCGAACCCGGUUAAGCGGUGGAAAAUGGAUGGAUGGAUGGAUGGAUGGUUGGAAGGAUGGAUGGAUGAAUUUGUAAUGUGUGUUAACUGUUUUGCUAAGCGCUUUGUUACAGCUGCCGCUGUUGUUAAAGCACUAUAAAAAUCAGCAUGUAUUGUAUUGGUGUGAUUUAAUCAACCAUCCAGAAGUAUUUACUUUGGCAUACUUCUGGUGUACACAUUGUUCUUAUUCAAAUCAUGGAUGGUUUUCAAAAUACACGUUUUUCUAAAAUGGACAAAUUAUCCCGGUCUCAUCUAUCAAUCUAUCUAUCUAUCUAUCUAUCUAUCUAUCUAUCUAUCUAUCUAUCUAUCUAUCUAUCUAUCUAUCUAUCUAUCUAUCUAUCUAUCUAUCUAUCUAUCUAUCUAUCUAUCUAUCUAUCUAUCUAUCUAUCUAUCUAUCUAUCUAUCUAUCUAUCUGUCUGUCUAAUUCAUUUAGAACCUUCCAUAUUACACGCGCUGCCUCUUUUGUUCGGGGUUUAACGUUUCAUAAGCUUGGUGUGGCCAAAUGCAGGGGUCCCCAACCGCCGUUCCGCAGGGCAUUUGGUACCAGGCCGCACAGAAAGAACUUGCCUUAAUUCCGUUUGAUUUAUUUCGGAAUACGAAAGAUAUUUUAUUUUGAAAAAUUACCGGAUUAUCCGUUACCUCCGUCUUGUCACGACUCAAACCACGCUUCUGCGUCACGUGACCGUGUACGCCAAAAAAAAGACUAAAAAAAUUAGUUAAAAACUACUGGAGAUCGCAAAUGACGGCGGCCUUAAAAGGACGUUCGAAACAACUGGAUUAAAGUUAUGGCUGAAUAUUCUGAGAUCGCCACAAUAGCACUGUUGCGGGGGUUUCUGUAGCAACGGCGACUAAAACAAAAUUACGGAGUAGACUGGACAUAAAACACACACUUGAGGUGUCAUUGUCUCCUAUUACCACAAGAUGGGACCGUCUGGUUGCAGAAAAUCGAGCUCGGGGCUGUGAUUAUACACGCGCUGUCACAGACCUGAGACGUCACCAGCACACCGACUUCAAGACUUCAAAGACCUGCCCCGUAAACCCAACAAGUGACGCAAUUUGUUUUUACUUGCAAUGAGAAAGGUAAUUAACGACUGUUUUUAUGUUCAACACAUUUCUGUCAUCACAUUUCUGUGUGUACGCGUUGAUCUUUAGAUGCGUUCACGUUGAUUUGACGAACUCGUCUAAUUCACAUCGAUGUUGUAUGUAUUGUAAUACAGUAUCUGGUUCUUGUAUUUGUGUGACGUCACAAAGAGGGGAGGAGCCAGGUUGGGGGACUCCUGUAUUGGCUCGGCAGUUAGUCUGAGUGUGGAGCGCAUGGGCGUGAGUUGUGGCUAACAUCAACUCCUUUGAAUGUGUGUGUUAGUGCUCCUUUUGUUUAUUAAAAACGACAGA
Molecule: long non-coding RNA, 2560 nt
Organism: Hippocampus zosterae (dwarf seahorse)
Lineage: Eukaryota; Metazoa; Chordata; Actinopteri; Syngnathiformes; Syngnathidae
Exons: 2
Source: RefSeq, a predicted model, not a curated record